AUACGUAGGGGGCGAGCGUUGUCCGGAAUGAUUGGGCGUAAAGGGCGCGUAGGCGGCCCAGUAAGUCUGGAGUGAAAGUCCUGUUUUUAAGAUGGGAAUUGCUUUGGAUACUGUCGGGCUUGAGUGCAGGAGAGGUAAGUGGAAUUCCCAGUGUAGCGGUGAAAUGCGUAGAGAUUGGGAGGAACACCAGUGGCGAAGGCGACUUACUGGACUGUAACUGACGCUGAGGCGCGAAAGUGUGGGGAGCAAACAGGAUUAGAUACCCUGGUAGUCCACACUGUAAACGAUGAAUGCUAGGUGUAGGGGGUAUCGACCCCUUCUGUGCCGCAGUCAACACAAUAAGCAUUCCGCCUGGGGAGUACGGCCGCAAGGUUGAAACUCAAAGGAAUUGACGGGG
This 397-nucleotide ribosomal RNA is filed under the name uncultured bacterium. RNAcentral describes it as "partial 16S ribosomal RNA". It matches the Rfam family "Bacterial small subunit ribosomal RNA", at positions 523 to 918 of the family's 1533-position model. The record is from RNAcentral.